RNAcentral lists this ribosomal RNA (772 nucleotides) under uncultured Neocallimastigales. RNAcentral describes it as "partial large subunit ribosomal RNA". The stretch from base 1 to 663 matches the Rfam family "Eukaryotic large subunit ribosomal RNA", at positions 26 to 664 of the family's 3401-position model. Lineage: Eukaryota; Fungi; Neocallimastigomycota; Neocallimastigomycetes; Neocallimastigales. The record is from RNAcentral.
CGCAUCUGUGCAUGCAGCAUAUCAAUAAGCGGAGGAAAAGAAACUAACAAGGAUUCCCUCAGUAACGGCGAGUGAAGCGGGAGAGCUCAAAUUUGAAAUCUUGAAAGGUCACCUUUCACGAAUUGUAGUUUAAAGAAGUGUUUUCUGUUACGAUCGUAAUAUAAGUUCUUUGGAAUAGGACAUCACAGAGGGUGAGAAUCCCGUCUAUGAUUGCGAUUUGUAGCUUUGUGAUACACUUUCAAAGAGUCGGGUUGUUUGGGAAUGCAGCCCAAAACGGGAGGUAAAUUUCUUCUAAGGCUAAAUAUUGGCGAGAGACCGAUAGCGAACAAGUAACCGUGAGGGAAAGAUGAAAAGAACUUUGAAAAGAGAGUUAAAUAGUACGUGAAAUUGUCAAAAGGGAAGCGUUUAACACCAGUGUUGUUUUCUGAAAAUCAACCUCUGUUAGCUUUAUGCAUGUUUGUUUAGACCUAAUCAGCUAUCUUUCAUGUUCUAUUGUUUGCAGUGGUGCACUUUUCAGUUUACAGGUCAACAUCAGUUUUUUUUACCGUAAAAAAGUUAAAGAAAGGUAGCUCAUGGCUCCGGUCGUGAGUGUUAUAGUCUUUUUCCUAUGCGGUAGGAGAGGACUGAGGGUCUGCAGUGUAGGCUAUUUGGCUAGAUACUCAGGUGCUAUGUGAUACCAUUUCAUAAACAACUUGUUGAUUAUGUUUUGUCUAUUGCAUACUCGCUUGUACUAUCAUACCUACGCUUAGGAUGUUGACGAUAGCUGAGCGCG